Molecule: long non-coding RNA, 709 nt
Filed under: Brassica rapa (field mustard)
Lineage: Eukaryota; Viridiplantae; Streptophyta; Magnoliopsida; Brassicales; Brassicaceae
Description: long non-coding RNA (BRAP_LNC005159)
Source: RNAcentral
UGGCAGUCAGUGUUCAAAAAUCUUCUUUCUAUGCUUCGGGACUAUCACAAGAGGAGGUUGAUGCUAUCCAAGUCUCUACGGGAAUGCCCAAUGGGACCCUUCCUGUUCGUUACCUUGGAGUACCUCUCUGCACAAAAAAGCUGACGGCGGAAAACUGUGAGGUCUUAAUCCAACAAAUUAAAGCAAAGUUUACUUCAUGGAGUGUCAAGACUCUCUCUUUUGCUGGUAGGCUACUCUUAAUAAAAACGGUGGUGGCGGGUGUAAACAACUUUUGGUGCUCUACUUUCCUACUCCCUAAAGCCUGUGUGACAAGAAUAAAUUCUCUCUGCGGCUUAUUCUUAUGGAAAGGACGACUAGAUGUGCAUCACUCAGCAAAGGUCUCGUGGGAGGUGGUGACUAAGGAAAAAGCUAGUGGAGGAUUGGGAGUGAAGGAUCUAGUUACUUGGAACAAGGCUUGCUGUUUAAAACUAAUUUGGUUGUUGUUCUUUCAAGCAGGAUCGAUAUGGGUUGGAUGGUUCAAGACUGAGGUUUUAAAAGGUUCCCUAUCUAACUUCUGGACUAUGAAAGCGACAACAACAAACUCUUGGUUGGCUAACAAGCUAUUCAAGUUGAGAGAUGAAGUCUUUACCUGGAUAAAGAUGAAAGUGGGAAAUGGUGAAUCCUGUAGAUUCUGGUCGGACAACUGGUCCCCCUUUGGGAAGCUCUCGCA